RNAcentral lists this unclassified non-coding RNA (358 nucleotides) under soil metagenome. RNAcentral's name for it is "partial contains 5.8S ribosomal RNA, internal transcribed spacer 2, and large subunit ribosomal RNA". The stretch from base 1 to 120 matches the Rfam family "5.8S ribosomal RNA", at positions 35 to 154 of the family's 154-position model. The record is from RNAcentral.
GAUGAAGAACGUAGCGAAAUGUGAUAAGUAAUGUGAAUUGCAGAAUUCAGUGAAUCAUCGAAUCUUUGAACGCACAUUGCGCCCGUCAGUAUUCUGGCGGGCAUGCCUGUUCGAGCGUCAUUACGCCCCUCAAGUCCCCUGUGGACUUGGUGUUGGGGAUCGGCGAGGCUGGUUUUCCAGCACAGCCGUCCCUUAAAUUAAUUGGCGGUCUCGCCGUGGCCCUCCUCUGCGCAGUAGUAAAACACUCGCAACAGGAGCCCGGCGCGGUCCACUGCCGUAAAACCCCCCAACUUUUUAUAGUUGACCUCGAAUCAGGAAGGACUACCCGCUGAACUUAAGCAUAUCAAUAAGCGGAGGA